UGUGGCUCAGUGGUAGAGUGCUUGCCUAGAAUGUAAGAGUUCUUGAGUUCUACCCCCAGCA
Molecule: transfer RNA, 61 nt
Filed under: Ictidomys tridecemlineatus (thirteen-lined ground squirrel)
Lineage: Eukaryota; Metazoa; Chordata; Mammalia; Rodentia; Sciuridae
Description: Spermophilus tridecemlineatus (thirteen-lined ground squirrel) tRNA
Rfam family: tRNA
About the family: Transfer RNA (tRNA) molecules are approximately 80 nucleotides in length.
Source: Rfam by way of RNAcentral